Molecule: unclassified non-coding RNA, 678 nt
Filed under: Rhagoletis pomonella (apple maggot)
Lineage: Eukaryota; Metazoa; Arthropoda; Insecta; Diptera; Tephritidae
Description: mitochondrial import inner membrane translocase subunit Tim9, transcript variant X2
Source: RNAcentral
GUUCAUAACCAACAAAUAUACGAGUGCACGCGAAUUGCUUCACUUAAAGUUUUAUAAAACUUCCUUGCAACUUUAAUGAAAAGUAGAAAAUAACAGUGUGCAAUUUAAAAGCAUAAACAUAAAACAGUUUUGAAAUGGUGGAAGCGGGGCAAAAUGUUUCAAUCGAUAAUCUAGACAAGGAUCAAAUGAAAACGUUUUCUGAUUUUCUGAUGUCUUACAAUAAACUAUCGGAAAUGUGUUUCUCAGAUUGUGUUCGCGACUUUACUUCGCGUGUGGUCAAAGACAAUGAGGAGCGCUGUGCACUUAAUUGUAUGGAGAAGUACCUGAAAAUGAAUCAACGCAUUUCACAGCGUUUCCAAGAGUUUCAAAUGAUUGCCAAUGAAAACGCAAUAGCGAUGGCGCAAAAGACUGGGAAACUUUAACGCAUUCCAACAUGCACCUUUUGAUCGAUAAUAAGCACAGAUGAACACUGACAUAUUAAACCAUGUAUACACCAAAUUGAGCAAGUGCCCAGACGCUGGCAAAAUAGCAGAUUAGCUUAAACAACAGUUGUUGCAACAGGGUGCCAGACCACUUGCUCAAUUUAGGGGAUACCACGAGUGUUUUCUAAAAGUGGGACUCGUCACCAUGUUUCGAGUUUCCUCACGUUACUACCUACUACAAAAAAUUAAAUAAAUA